RNAcentral lists this ribosomal RNA (253 nucleotides) under uncultured bacterium. RNAcentral's name for it is "partial 16S ribosomal RNA". It matches the Rfam family "Bacterial small subunit ribosomal RNA", at positions 524 to 776 of the family's 1533-position model. The record is from RNAcentral.
UACGGAGGGUGCGAGCGUUGUCCGGAAUCACUGGGCGUAAAGGGCGCGUAGGCGGCCUGAUAAGUAGGGGGUGAAAUCCUGCGGCUUAACCGCAGGGCUGCCUUCUAAACUGUCAGGCUUGAGCACAGUAGAGGCAGGUGGAAUUCCCGGUGUAGCGGUGGAAUGUGUAGAGAUCGGGAAGAACAUCAGUGGCGAAGGCGGCCUGCUGGGCGUGAUCUGACGCUGAGGCGCGAAAGCGUGGGGAGCGAACAGG